GAAUCUGUCCAUCGGUCGAGCUUCACUGUUCGUACUGGUGUGGUGGGUUCUUACCUUCUGAAUAACCAGCAUGCCAUUCACUUGGUGCGUUGGGGAAGCAGGACUAUUACCUUGAAAAAAUUAGAGUGCUCAAAGCAGGCCAGCGCCUGAAUACAUUAGCAUGGAAUAAUAAAAUAGGACGGCUUGGUUCUAUUUUGUUGGUUUCUAGAGUCGCCGUA
RNAcentral lists this ribosomal RNA (218 nucleotides) under uncultured fungus. Its description in RNAcentral is "partial small subunit ribosomal RNA". The stretch from base 48 to 218 matches the Rfam family "Eukaryotic small subunit ribosomal RNA", at positions 693 to 864 of the family's 1831-position model. The record is from RNAcentral. Lineage: Eukaryota; Fungi.